GGGCGUUGGUUUGUCUUCCCUCUCCUCCUGCGAACAGGGCGUGGCUCCUUAGACAAUGAGAUUUGUCUAAUUUAGCAAAACCGAUUUCGAUUCCUAAAUAAAUCCUCUUCACUAAGUACCGUUCCACCUUCUGGUCAGAACUUUGCAUAGCUUAGUUCAGCACUCCUUGUGCUUAGUCGCGGUGGGUAGGUCGUACUAGCUAUCCGGAAGGGGUGAAAACACCGUACCGCCUCUGGGACCCACACCUCUGUAUCUCUUGUUAGUCGCCUAUCCGUGGGACUGGCGCAAAAGAUUUGCAAAUUUGUUUCCGUUGUUUCCUUUCAAAUAAAGAGAAGGAAGAAGGGGUGCGUGUGUGCAGUUUUCCCUAAAAGUUACUGAUAUACCAGGUUUUGAAACUACCAGUCCUCUCAGGUAAUAAAAUGGAGCGAAAUGGAUGUGAGAACCGUAACCACUAGAGACCGCGGUUGCUACUCAGGACUGUGAUCUACUUGCCUGCAGUCUUGGGAGAUAAUAUUUUACAUUUUUUUCCGACGUCUAAAAUCUAGAUUUUUUAUGUUAAAUCCAGGGAUUUUUAAGGUAAUGAAUUCAAAUUAAAAUCAGGCUGGGCGUGGUAGCUCACGCCAGCACUUUGAUGGGCGGGUCACAUUGAGGUCAGUAGUUCAAGACCAGCUUGGCCAACAUGGUGAAAACCAAUCGCGGUGGCUCACGCCUGUAAUCCCAGCACUUUGGGAGGCCGAGGCGGGUGGAUCACGAGGUCAAGAGAUCGAGACCAUCCUAGUCAACAUGGUGAAACCCCGUCUCUACUAAAAAAUACAAAAAAUGAGCUGGGCAUGGUGGCACGUGCCUGUAAUCCUACCUACUCGGGAGGCUGAGGCAGGAGAAUUGCCUGAACCCAGGAGGCAGAGGUUGCAGUGAGCCGAGAUCGCGCCAUUGCACUCCAGCCUGGGUAACAAUAGAGAAACUCCGUCUCAAAAAAUAAAUAAAUAAAUAAAUAAAUAAAAAUAAAAAGCCAGGUGUGGUGGCGGGCGCUUGUAAUCCCAGCAGUUUGGGAGGCUGAGGCAGGCCGACAGAUCACAAGGUCAGGAGUUUUGAGGCCAACCUGGCCAAUAUGGUGAAAGCCUGUCUCUACUAAAAAUAUAAAAAUUAGCUGGGCAUGGUGGCGUGCGCCUGUAGUCCCAGCUACUCAGGAGGCUGAGGCAGGAGAAUCGCUUGAACCCGGAGAGCAGAGGUUGCCGUGAGCCGGGAUCGAGCCACUGUACUCCAGCAUGGGCGACAGAGUGAAACUCCGUCUCAAAAAAAAGAAAAAGAAAAAAAAUCAAAUUGAAAUAAGCAGGAAUGCUUGGUCUUGUGUCUGUGGACCCUCAAUAUAUGCACAGAUGACGUUCGGUAGUCGAACUUUCUGUAAUAUUUUCCAAAGUUUUAUGCAUGUGUACAUCUACAAAAAUAUAUGCAUGUGUGUACUUUUUUCUAGGAAGAGGAUUUGAAAUUUUAAUCAAAUUCUUAAAGGAGUCCAUAGAUCCCAAAAGGGAAAAGAACUAUAUGUGUGUGUGUGUGUGUGUGUAUAUAUAUAUAUAUAUAUGUAUGUAUUUUUUUUUUGAGUCACCCAGGGUGGAGUGCAAUGAUGUGAUCUCAGCUCCCUGCAACCUCUGCUUCCCUGGCUCAAGCCAUUCUUGUGCCUCAGCCUUCCAAGUAGUUAGAAUUACAGACAUGUGCCACCAUGUCCAGCUAAUUUUUGUAUUUUUAGAAGAAACAGGGUUUUGCCAUGUUGGCCAGGCUGGUCUCGAACUCCUGGCCUCAAGUGAUCCACCAGCCUCAGCCUCCCAAAGUGGUGGGAUUACAGGCAUGAGCCCCUGAACCCAGCCAAUUUUUUUUUUUUUUUUAGACAGGGACUUGCUCUGUCAUUCAGGCUGGAAUGCAGUGGUACAAUCACAGCUCACUUCAGCCUCAACCUCCUGGACCCAAGCCAUCUUCCCACCUCAAUCUUCUAAGUAGCUGGGACUACAGCUACAAAAAAUGCAAAAUCACUACAGAAAAUACAAAAAUCAGUCUGAAGCGGUGGUACGUACCUGUAACUUUAGUAGAGUACGUACCUGUACCACCGCUUCAGACUGAUUUUUGUAUUUUUUAUGGUGAUGGUGUCUUGCCAUGUUACCUAGGCUGCUCUCGAACUCCUGAAGUCAUGUGAUCCUCCUGUCUUAGCCUCCCAAAAGGGAGGGAACUACAGGUGUGAGCCACUGUGCCUGGCCAGAGCCUGAAUUUUUUUUUUUUUUUUUUUUUUUGAUGAGGACCAAAAGAGAUACUAUUUCAACAAAUUUAAUGUUUCUAGCAUUGUUCCAUUAAGUGAAUGGCAGAAAAGAGGAGAGUUCUAAAAAACUUGCAGCCUUUUGAUUCUUUUAUUCAAAGUUAUUUGCUGGACACAUUUUCUUUCUGUUCUUUUCUCCAUCAAUUUAAAUUUAUACAGGCAAAUCUUCUGUUAAUUAAUGAUAAGCCAAUAAUUGGGUAAUUCAUUUUAAGAAGAGAUGAAGGGCCGAGUGUGGUGGCUCCUGCCUGUAAUCCCAGCACUUUGGGAGGCCGAGGUGGGCAGAUCACAAGGUCAGGAGUUUGAGACCAGCCUGGCCAACAUGAUGAAACCCCGUCUCUACUAAAGUUACAAAAAAUUAGCCAGGCGGACCCCUGUAAUCCCAGCUACUCAGGAGGCUGAGGCAGGAGAAUCGCUUGAACCUGGGAGGCAGAGGUUGCCGUGAGCAGAGAUCGAGCCACUGCACUCUAGCCUGGGUGACAGGGUGAGACUUCAUCUCAAAAAAAAAGGAAUGAGACAAUACACAUAGGUACUUUUAAUUUCAAGGUAUUUUCAUUUCUGACAAAUAUAAUUGAAUUUGCUUUUUUUUGGCGAUGGAGUCUUGCUCAGUCACCCAGGCUGGAGUACAGUGGCAGGAUCUCAGCUCACUGCAACCUCUUUCUCCCAGGUUCAAGCAAUUCAUGCCUUAGCAUCCCCAGUAGCUGGGACUACAGGUGUGUGCCACCACACCUGGGUAAUUUUUGUAUCUUUAGAAGAGAUGGGAUUUCACCAUUUGGCUAGGCUGGUCUCUAACUCAUGACCUCAAGUGAUCUGCCCACUUUGGCUUCCCAAAGUGCUAGGAUUACAGGCAUGAGCCACCAUGCCCAGCCUGAAUUUGCUUUAAUUUCUUGUCCGUCUAAUUUAACAUAGUCAUUUCCGAUUUUGUUCAGUUCAGCAGAAUACAAAAUAGAACUUAAUUGAGAGUGAAUGGGACAUUUUUAUUUCUCUAUUGGAAUCUUUUUUUUCUAUUUGAAUGUAACCAACUGUUCAGGAGUUGAUGAUGAGGUCAGUAUAUGGCAGGAAAAGUCUUGACAGCUGUUUUAUCAGGUCUCCCUGGAUGGUGUUAGCUUGGUGAUGAUUACAAUUAAGGCUGUUACCAGUUGUCCACAGUUAACACAUUUCAGCUCACAAGAGUAAACAUCAAAAAAGCAAAUAAAAACUUAUUUGGAAAUAAGAACAAAACAAGGUGAAUCAUUUUGAGGGAUAUUUCAUUCAGAUCAUGGUGAUACUUGAUAAAUGAUCCCUGCCCCACCACAAAGUAUUUCUCUCAAAGACAGGAAAAUUCAUAGCCUCUGGAUUCUGUGUCUCUGUUCCUUGGACAGUGCUGGGUAAAGACUGGCAAUGCUCUUUCUACAGGCUAAUCUUCACACAUUUCUUUAAACAAUAUACUAGAUGGUUGAUUCCUUUUGUGAUGAGCAUAUUACACCCAGUUAUAGUUUUGCCUCCUAAGAUUACAUCCUCAUCUUAAUAGGAGUUUGAGGGUUUUCUAAAUUCCUUAGUUAUACAUUCACUAGCAAUUUUAUGGAUUGCUCUCACCAACCAGCUGAUUUAGUAAGUAUGGACUUUACCAGCUUCACUGUUGGAAGCAACCUAAUUUUUAACCCUAUUGUGUGGUGGAAAAGUUAGUUACUCCAAGAGAAACUUUUUAAAUACUUUUGAUUCAAUCUAAUAAUCUCAGGAGGAGACUUGUCAAAAGUUCAUGGAAAAUGCGUAUUAUGAAUAAAUCAUACAUGGAUUUCAAAAUUGUUUUACACCAAAAUAAACCCAUACUAACUUGUUAUAACAUGUAUGAACAGGAACUAGUUUGAGGUACUAAGAAGGAUAAGACGUAUGUUUGAAAAGAGCCCCUAUCAAAGCAACAUGUACUCUGCUAAAAUUGAAGCAAGGACAAACAUCAAACUUAUGGUGAACUUUGGGUGAAAUAAUGGUGAAAUCAUUAAUUCUUUACAAAAAGUUUAUGGGCACAAUGCCUCAAAGAAAUCAGUAUUUUAUAAUUGGAGAGUUCAUUUUAAGAAAGGAUGAGACAGUGUUGAAGAGGAAGCCAGCAGUGUCAGACGACCCACAUCAGUUUGCAAGGAAAAAAUUAAUCUUGUCAUGCUUGAAGACCAUAAUGUAUACAGUGGUCCAUUUCCAAGACAAAAUGCCUCGGCUUAGGUCAGCAAACUACAGAAGAAACGGAACAUACUAGGCCCCUGUUUGGAUAGCCACUGACUGCUUGUCAGUCUCCCUCUUUCUCCCAUAUUUCUUUCCCCUCUUAGUUGCCUUCACCCAAACUAAAAAAGUUUUGUCUAAAAUGAAGUCUGCAAAAUAGCUCACUUUGUCUACUCUUAUCAGCCUGCCCAGCUACUUAGGUCAUAAGUUAAAUACUUGAAAAGCACCUGAGCUAACUAGGAUUGCAAUGCAUUGUGGGCUGCAAUAAAAUGCAGCAAGACAACCUUAAAAAAAAAAAUCUAAACCCUCUGCCUAAUAAUCAAUAGGUGACAUCUGGGGAAGAUUGUGACCCCAUAGUACUCAGCCUUUGAGAAACCCGGGGUGGGACCUGCGCAAGUAGAGGAUAAGUUGUUUGUUAAAACUGUGCUGGGCCAGGCGCUGUGGCUCAUGCCUAUUAUCCUAGCACUUUGGAGGGCCUAGGCAGGUGGAUCACUUUAUGUCAGGAGUUCGAGACCAGCCUGGCCAACAUGGCAAAACUCCGUUUCUACUAAAAAUAUAAAAAUUGACUGGGUGCGGUGGCUCACACCUGUAUUCCCAGCAUUUUGGGAGGCCUAGGUGGGUGGAUCACAAGGUCAGGAGUUUGAGACUGGCCUGACCAACAUGGUGAAACCCUGUCUCUACUAAAAAUAAAAAAAAUCAGCUGGGUGUGGUGGCGCACACCUGUAAUCCCAGCUACUCGGAAGGCUAAGGCAGGAGAAUCACUUGAGCCCAGGAGGCAGGGGUUGUAGUGAGCUGAGAUCAUGCCACUGCACUCCAGCCUGUGACAGAGAUUAUGUCUAAAAAAAAAAAAAAAUUAUCAGGGCUUGGUGGUUGACACCUAUAAUCCUAGCUACUUGGGAGGCUAAGGCAGAAGAAUCGCUUGAACCUGGGAGAUGGAGGUUGUAGUGAGCUGAUAUGCCACUGCACUCCAGCCUGGGUGACAAGAGCAAAAUUUCAUCUAAAAAAAAAGAAGACACCCAGUCUUGCAAGACCAUCCUUAAAAGUCUCACUUUUUCUGUCCUCUGGCUCUCUGAGUUCAUUCUUUGGGUUUGGACAGGUAAGUUUGUUUCUCACAUGCUCUCAUAGAAGACAACCAACAAUUAAUAGCAGAAACCAAAAUAAACUAACACCAUAGACAUCUCAGUUGGGUUGGCUUACACAAUUCUAACUGAAAAAUUUAAGCUGAGCAAAUUUUCCACUCAAAGGUUGCUAAAACUGUACAAUGGAUCAGCUGCACACAAGAGCAGUGCUUUCUAUGGAGAUUUUAAACAAGUGCAAUCAAGAUCCCGAAGCACUUCUUUGAAGAAUUAUAUCAGGAGAUAAAACAUGGCUUUACCAGUCCAAUCCUGAAGGCAAAGCACAACCAGAACAAUGGAUACCAGGAGGUGGAAGUAGUCCAGUCAAAGCAAAAAUGGACCAGUCCCAAAGCAAAGGUCAUGACAUCAAUUUUUGUUGGCUGCUCAAGACAUUUUCUUGUUGACUUUCUGGAAUGAAUAAUAUGUGCUUAUUAUGAGAACAAACAGAUAUAAGAAAGUUAGCCAAAGCUUUAGCAAAAAAAAAAAAAAAAAAAAUGCCCAGGAAAGCUUCACCAGAGAGUUCCCCACAAUGACAAUACUGCUCAUUCCUCUCAUCAAGCAAGGGCAAUUUUGCAAGAGUUUUGAUGGGAAAUGAUUAAGUAUCCACCUUGCAGUCUUAUUUUAUUUAUUUAUUUAUUUAUUUAGAGAUGGAAUUUUGCUCUUGUUGCCCAGGCUGGAGUGCAAUGGCUGGAUCUUGGCUCACUGCAACCUAUGCCUUCUGGGUUCAAGCAAUUCUCCUGUCUCAGCCUCCUGAGUAGCUGAGAUUAUAGGCAUCCACCACUACACCCGGCUCAUUUUUGGAAUUUUUAGUAGAGACGGGUUUUACCAUGUUGACCAGGAUGGUCUUGAACUCCUCCUGUCUUGGCUUCCCAAAGUGCUGGGAUUACAGGCAUGAGCCGUGUGCCUGGCCCAUCUAGCAGUCUUUAUUUGACUCCUUCUGACACCUUUUUGUUUCCUAAUCUUUAAAAAUGUGUAAAUGGCAUUUCUUUUUUUUUUUUUUUUUUUUUUUUUUUUAAUAAUGUGAAAAAGGGCUGGGCCUGGUGGCUCACACCUGUAUCUCAGCACUUUGGGAGGCCAAGGCAGGCAGAUCACCUGAGGUCAGAAGUUCAAGACCAGCCUGGCCAACAUGGUGAACCCGUCUCUACUAAAAAUACAAAAAAAAAAAAAAAAAAAAAAUAGCCUGGAAUCAGCCACUUGGGCGGCUGAGGUGAGAACUGCUUGAACCCAGGAGGUAGAGGUUGCAGUCAGCCGUGAUUGCUCCACUGCACUCCAGCCUGGGCAACAGAGUGAGACUCCAUCUCAAAAAAAAAAGUGAAAAAGAAUACAUUGACAUGGUUAAAUUCCCAGGACCUGAAGUUCUUUAGGGAUGGACUAAAUGGCUGGUAUCAUUACUUAAAAAGUGUCUUGAGCUUGAUGGAGAUUUUAUGGAGAAAAAGUUUUUAUUUUUAUAUUUUAAUUCCAUUUUUUUCCAUAAACUUCUUGAAGUUCCCUCAUAUUAGUGUCAGCACCAUACUUUGCACUGAAAAUGAUUACUUGUGGGUUGGGGGAGAAGAAAGAAAUUCAGAGUCAAUUGCUGUAAGAGCUGAAAUCAUGAGACACAAUUUUUCAAUUAUUUGCUUUCUACUCAAAACUCCACCUGUGGUGAUAGUUACAUAAAUGUGCAUAUAUUUAAAAUCAUGCAUUGUUUACUUAAAGCAGACGAAUUGUAUGGUAUGUAAAUUAUGACUCAAUAACAUUGUUUUGUUUUUUUAAUGACUGGGGAAAUAAACCUCUGUAUCUCCACCAUCAGCAAAAUCUCUCUCCAGUGUCAUUCCUCCAAAUGUAUUAUUGGGAGUAGGGGAAGUCCGAGAGAAAUUUGCACUGAAAUAUGGCUUUCCUAAUCUGGAAACUCUGUUUCCAACAUUUGUUGUGCCAAUCCCUACUGUUUUCUGUGCAGAUAACUGUUAUUUUUACUACCAGGUAAAGAGACACUUAGAAAGUUGGGAGUACCAGUCGAUUCCACUGUGUACAGGAGUUUACUUCCAGAAACAAUUCACUGGGAAGAUUCUCUGUUCCCUUACGCCACUUGAUUCAGGGGUAAAUAUUCUCUGAAAAGGAAAGAAAUCGUGUAUUUUAAAUUUUCAUUUUUGUCUCAUCUUCCCUAGUAAACUAUGUUGAGGAGAUUUCUGCUGUAAUGUCCUUUAUUACUAGUACAUUAUCUGUUAAAAAUGGGUAUUAUUGACUACUGACUGCUCUUUGAAAAAGGUGGGAAGUUAGGUGAGCAGAAUAUUGUUUCUAUGGAAACUUAAUCAUGUUGCUGUCAGUGAAUAGACACAAUGGGUACAAGAAUUGUUUUUCUUUUCUUUUUUUUUGAGAUGGAGUCUUUUUCUAUUGCCCAGGCUGGAGUGCAAUGGCACAAUCUCGGCUCACUACAACCUCUGCCUCCCGUGGUCAAGCGAUUCUCCUGCCUCAGCCUCCUGAGUAACUGGGAUUCCAGGUGCAUGCCAGCAAAUUUCCUCUUUGCUGUUGUAAAAGGUAUUCCAGGUUAGGUGAGCCAACGUCUCUGAGGAUUACCGUUUUUCCUCUUUACUGUUUAAAAGGUAUUCCGGCUAAUUUUUGUAUGUUUUAUAGUUAGUAAUUUUUUAAUAAUUAGUAAUACCAGCUACUCGGGAGGCUGAGGCAGGAGAAUCACUUGAAACCAAGAGGUGGAGGUUUCAGUGAGCCAAGAUCGCACCAUUGCACUCUAGCCUUGGUGACAGAGCAAGACUCUGUCUAAAAAAAAAAAAAAGAAAGAAAAGAAAAAAAAUAUUAUGAAAAUAUGUAUUUUCACUAUGUUUUUCUUUUCCUGUUACUAUUAUAACUUGCCCUCCCCUCUUUCUGCUUAGUUCUUUCUUUUUAAAAUCAAAGUCCAAUUCAAAUUGCACAUUUCCUAAUUAGAGUAGGUGGCUCUUUAAGGUCCUAUAAAAACAUACUGCAGAUAUGCUUUUGUUUGUUUGUUUUUUUGGGGUGGAGUCUUGCUCUGUCAGCCAGGGUGGAAUGCAGUGGUGCGAUCUCGACUCACUCUAACCUCCACCUCCCUGGUUCGAGCAGUUCCCCAGCCUCAGCCUCCCGAGUAGCUAGGAUUACAGGUACACAUCACCAUACCCAGCUAAGUUCUUUUUGUAUUUUUAGUAGAGAUGGGUUUUCACCAUGUUGGCCAGACUGGUCUCAGGCAAUCAGCCUCCUACAGAACUGGGAUUACAGCUGCGAGCCACUGCACCCGGCCAAAGAUAGCUUUAAUUGCUAAAAAUGCUACCGUUGUUUUUGUGAUUCUUCUUUUUUUUUUGAGACUGUAUCUCGCUCUGUUGCCCAGGCUGGAGUGCAGUGGUGCAAUCUCUGCUCACUGCAACCUCUGCCUCCCGGGCUCAAGCAGUUCUCCUGCCUCAGCCUCUGCAUAGCUGGGAUUACAGGCACGAGCCACCUUGCCCAGCUAAUUAUUUAUUUAUUUAUUUAUUUAUUUAUUUAAAGACGGGUUUCACCAUGUUGGUUAGGCUGGUCUUGAACUCCCGACCUCAGAUGAUCCGCCCACCUUGGCCUCCAAAGUGCUUGGAUUACAGGGGUGAGCCACCACGCCCGGCCAGCCCAGCUAAUUUUUUUUUUUUUUUUUUUGAGACAGAGUUUCACUCGUUACCCAGGCUGGAGUGCAAUGGCGUGAUCUCAGCUCACUGCAACCUCCACCUUCCUGGGUUCAAGGAAUUCUCCUGCCUCAGCUUCCCGAGUAGCUGAGACUACAGGCAUGCACCACCAUGCCCAGCUAAUUUUUGUAUUUUUAGUAGAGACGGGGUUUCACCAUGUUACCCAGGCUGGUCUUGAACUCCUGACCUCAGGUGAUACACCAGUCUUGGCCUCCCAAAGUGCUGAGAUUACAGGGCUGAGCCACCGCACCUGGUCGUUUUUAUGAUUCUUAUACUGUGAAUUCUAUUUAAUGUUAGCUAUCUUUAUUAAUAGUAAUAGUGGUAUCCUAUGUUACUGCUGCCAUCAAGCAUGUUUGAAAAUUAAUUUUAAUAAAGUUUUUGGUUUGAAGUUUUGAGUAUGUGACAGUUUUCCUCUUUGCUGUUGUAAAAGGUAUUCCAGGUUAGGUGAGCCAACGUCUCUGAGGAUUACCGUUUUUCCUCUUUACUGUUGUAAAAGGUAUUCCAGGUUAGGGGAGCCAACGUCUCUGAGGAUUACCGUUUUUCCUCUUUGCUGUUUAAAAGGUAUUCCAGGUUAGGUGAGCCAACGUCUCUGAGGAUUACCGUUUUUCCUCUUUGCUGUUUAAAAGGUAUUCCAGGUUAGGGGAGCCAACGUCUCUGAGGAUUACCGUUUUUCCUCUUUGCUGUUGUAAAAGGUAUUCCAGGUUAGGGGAGCCAACGUCUCUGAGGAUUACCGUUUUUCCUCUUUGCUGUUUAAAAGGUAUUCCAGGUUAGGUGAGCCAACGUCUCUGAGGAUUACUUUUGUAUAUUUACUUGCAGAACCACUUCGGAGCUUACCAGACCCAGAGCACUGGGCCAGCAAACUAUGACCUCUGACCCAUGGCCUGUUCUUUGGAAUGUCCAUGAGUUACGAAUGUCUUUUACAUUUUUCAAUGGUUUUAAAAAAACACACAAAAGAAUAAUAUUUUGUGCAUGUGAAAAUUCUAUGAGAAUCAAAUUUCAGUGUCCAUAUAUAAGUUUUACACAGCCAUGCCCACUUGUUUACAUACUGUCUAUGGCUGGUUUCAUGCAACAAAGGCAGAGUUGUUGCAACAAAGAGCUCAUGGCUCUCAAGCCUAAAACAUUUACUAUCUGACCCUUUACAGAAACAAUUUGUCAACCCCUUACCACAAGGAAAAUAAUAACCUGCUUUUGUCAUUUGUGCUUAACCUCAUUCAAAUAUUCAGCUUUGCCAUGCAUGUCCUUUUCCUCUUGCAGAUGUUUCUGUCAUGGGUAAUAUAUUAAUAGUUGCAAACAUAAAUAAUGAACCUUUCCAAGUGAUAAGUUGCUUACAUGUGUUUCAUCAGCCGCUACUAUAGUACAGUGAUAAGUUACUGAUAGCUGCUGGAAAGAAAUUCUCCUGCCCAUCUGCCCUGCCUAGAAAAGGAGGUGUGGCUUUACUGCCACUGGAUUUCUUUUUUUCUUUUUUUUUUUUUUAGUCUAGUUGAUCAAAAUUGUUCACUGAUGGCAGGUUUCUGUAACCAUUCUUGCAUUGAAGUAAUGUGGCACACAAUGAGUCCAUAACAGGUUUUGUUCUAAGUACAUAUUAGUGUCCACUCACUGUGGAAUUUGCAGGUGAAAUUUCCAAAAUGUUCCUAUUGUUUUUCUACAGUUCUGGGAUCACUCACUCUCAGGCUGGUCCUGGUGCCACCACCCUGGCCCCAGGAGGCUCCUAGAUGUGGUUACAGUUUACAGUCCAGACCCACAUCCAGGGGGUCCUUCUUUGCCUCCCAUGUGUCUCCAUGUGGCCAGGAGCCACUCUGCUCACCAGCUACAAUUUACUCCAAGUUAAUUUCUACUCUAUCAAAUUCAGACACCAAGGGAGAAAAAAAAUCUUUCCCCUGGCUCUGAGUCUCCAGUUUUUUGGAGAUCAGCCUGGGAAACAUAGCAAGAUCCUGUACACACACACACAUAUACACACACACAAACAACAAGGGAGGCACAUGCUAGUAGUUUUAGCUACUCAGGAGGCUCACACUGGAGGAUCACUGGAGCCCAGAAGUUCCAGUCAGCAGGAAGCUGUAAUUGCACCUGCACUCCAGCCUAGCAACAGAGUGAGACUGUGUCUGGAAAAAAAAAAAUUUGCAUUCAGAAAAAAAGCUUUCUUUAUCUUUUCCCAAGACAAAUGAGUGUUGCUUUUAAUUUGUGCAACUAAAGAGCCCCUUUAGGGAAACUUCCUAACACAAAAGAAACAGUCUGCCCUAAAGGAUUAUUCAUGUCUUCCACCUCUGUAGAUACAGUAAGGGCUUAUCACCUUACUAUACGUUUUCUUAGCCUCAACUAAAUCCAGGCUAGAAAAAAAUUACAGGCAUUUGCCUGUUAAUAAUGUUAGGUCAUAAUUCUAGUGAGUUUCUUUCUUUCUUUCUUUUUCUUUUUUUUUUUUUAAGACAGAGCUUCGCUCUUGUUGCCCAGGCUGGAGUGCAAUGGCACCAUCUCUGCUCACCGCAACCUCCUCCUCCCGGGUACAAGCUAUUCUCCUGCCUCAGCCUCCUUAGUAGCUGGGAUUACAGGCAUGCGCCACCACAUCUGGCUAAUUUUGUAUUUUUAGUAGAGACAGGGUUUCUCCAUGUUGUUCAGGCUGGUCUCAAACUCCCGACCUCACGUGAUCCGCCCGCCUUGACCUCUCAAAGUGCUGGGAUUACAGGCGUUAGCCACCGCUCCUGGCUUCUCUAGUAAGUUUCUUAUAAAUUCUUAAUUACUUCGCAAAUACACAUAUGAAAAUCUGGGGCUCUAUUUACAUUUCCAAUCUGACAAUAUAGCCUUAAAAUUAUCUAGUUGCAGUUGAGAAAAUACACUUCUCUAUAAAUUUAUACAGGAAUCUGUAUUCAACUAUUUGAAUGCUAAAGCCAUGCCCCAACAGAUUCAGUCUUCCCCAGAGAACAUCAAUCAUUGUUGAGACUUUGUAUAAAUAAAGUGCUUGACUGGGAGACUGGGUGACAUGGUGAAACCCCAUCUCUACAAAAAAUACAAAAAUUAGCCAAGCAUGGCGGCACGUGCCUGUGGUCCCAGCUACUUGGGAGGCUGAUGUGGGAGGAUUGCUUGGACCUGGGAGGUGGAGGUUGCGGUGAGCCAAGAUUGUGCCACUGCCCUCCAGCCUGGGCUACAGAGCGAGACCCUGUUUAAAAAAAAAAGAAAACUUGUUUGGGGAUGGUAUAAAUGAAUAGAGGGUCUCACGAAGCAUGGUUUGCACUGUACUAAGUUAUUAAUAUUAAAACAGUUUCCAAGGUUUACACUACUGUAAACAGAAAAUAAAGAUACCUAUAUCAGCCAGCUUCUGCUGGGUAAGGCUGCAGUAAUAACUUCAAACAUUUCAGUGGCUUAAGAAAAUAACCAACAUCUGCUUCUUGCUUAUUGGCAGCCACAAGUUGGCAGAGUCACAGCCCGUGUAUCUUAUCACUAAAAGGCAUGAUGCUGCAGUGGAAAGAUGGGCUUUGAACAAGAUGGAUUUGGGUUUAAAUCCCCAAUACCACUUCGUACUUGUGUGAUCUUGCACAACUCUCUUAACCUACUUAAGCCUCUGUUUCUUCAUCUAAUAAAUGGGGACAUUAACAGCACUUAUAAAGCUGUUGUGAAGAUUAAGUUAAAUAACAUGGAAAUCAACUAGUCGUAGAGUGCCCUGCACAUAGAGUAGCACUCUAUGCUCUGCAAUACUCUGUGCCCUGCACCAUAAUAAACAGUGGUUCUUAUUCAGGCUGCAAAAACUUAUUCCCUUGCUUUUCAACAUUUGUGGUUAGACUGAUCAACUUUACUGUUCUUCAGAGGAAGGAAUAAGAUGUGAAAUUCAAGUCAGUCUGUCUUAUGACUAAUGAGAUAUUGUGAGGCUGGGCACAGUGGCUCAUGCCUGUAAUCCCAGCACUUUGGGAGGCUGAGGCAAGCAGAUCACUUGAGAUCAGGAGUUCGAGACCAGCCUGACCAACAUGUUGAAACCCCGUCUCCACCAAAAAUACAAAAAAUUAGACAGGUGUUGUGGUGUGUACCUAUAAUCCCAGCUACUCAGGAGGCUAAGGUGGGAGAAUCGCUUGAACCCAGGAGGCAGAGGUUGCAGUUAGCGGGGAUUGUGCCACUGCACUCCAGGCUGGGUGACAGAGCAAGACUCUGUCUCAAAAAAAAUUAAAAAAAUAUAUGGAUAAAUAGCUUAGUGGGAAAGAAGUUUGAAGUUCUUGCCUAAAUUGAGGUUUUUGUUUUGUGUUUUAGGGGUGGAAAUAUGGCCUGUGUUGAAAAAAAAGUUGAGAAAUUCUUUCCGUAUGUUACAUACAGAAACAGAUGUGUCCCUGGCUACAGAGGACUUGACCUCUAAUGCUACCACUGGAGGAAAUAUGAUGUAGUUCUUUGGCCUAAGUUUCCAAAGAAUAUCUCCCUACUGGAAAAGCUCACAGAAUGAAUUGCUGCACACUAACAAUAUCCCCAGAGAAGCAAAUGAUGAUCUGCUUUACUUUGGAGCAGGCGAUGGUUUUCAGAUUUGACACCAAGAGCAGAAGUGACGAAAGAAAAAAUAGACAAAUAACACUUCAUCAAAAGUAAAAGCAUCACAGGCUUCAAAGGACACCAUCAAGAAAGUGAAAAUACAACCCACAGAAUGGGAGAAAAUAUUUGCAAACCAUCUCUCUGAUGACAGUCUAAUAUCCAGAUUAUUAUUAUUACAACUCAAUGAUAAAAGGACAGGGCUGGGUGCAGUGGCUCACGCCUGUAAUCCCAGCACUUUGGGAGGCCAAGCUGGGAGGAUUGCUUGAGCCCAGGAGUUUGAAGCCAGCCUGGGUGAGAUGGUGAGGCCCCCUCUGUAAAAAAUUUAAAAAUUAGCUGGGUAUGAUGGUGCACACUUGUCCCAGCUACUCAGGAAGCUGAGGUGAGAGGAUCACUUGAGCCCAGGAACUGGAGGUAGCAGUCAGCCAAGAUCGCACCACCCCAUGCCAGUCUGGGCAACCUCACCUACCCCUCUCUUCCCUUCUCUGAUCCAAGCCAUUUCUUCCUCAGCUCCCUUAAUCAAUGACAGGAGGCUCUUCUUGUCUCGGUGUCAGAUUUCCCCUUUAGCAAAAUCUUAAACAAAACAAAGCAAAACAGUAAAUGCUAACAGUAUUCGUUUCUUCACAGCUUCCUAAAGCUUGACUUAGCACUACUUCCCUGGGUCUGCCAUUUACCAAGCUCUCCCUGAAUUAGUCCUACCAUUGAUUCACUAUUACUCUAUGGGUUUUCCUUUGCUUAUCUGUAAAGAGAGAAUUCAAGGGUGAAUGGAGUCCAGGUCCUCUCACCCUCCUGCCCUGCCCCAGUUCUUACAUUUUACCUUCACCAUCUCUUAAGCUUUCCUUUAUAUUUAUUUUUGAGAUGGAGUCUUGCUCUGUCAUCCUGGUUGAAGUGCAGUGUUGCAAUCUCAACUCGCUGCAACCUCUGCCUCCCGGGUUCAAGCGAUUCUCCUGCCUCAGCCUCCCAAGUAGCUAGAACUACAGGUGGCCACCACCAUGCCUAGCUAAUUUUUUUAUUUUUAUUUUUAGAAGAGAUGGGGUUUCACCACGUUGGCCAGGCUGGUCUUGAACUCCUGGCCUCAAGUGAUCUGCCUGCCUCAACCUCCCAAAGUGCUGGGAUUAGUGCUGCCUGCCUCGGCCUCCCAAAGUGCUAGGGUAGGUAGAUGGAGGGAUGCUUUGGAACUCAUGUUGAAGGCAGGAGAUGAGGAGAACAAGGAUUAGAUCCUGGACCCUUGCAUUCUGUGUGUUCUCUCAUUAUCAAACCUCACUCUCAGGAGCACAAAGCUGAGUGACUGUGUGCACUUGGUGUGGUUAUUUAUACCUUAACAUACUAUGAAUCACCUGUGCCAAGCAUUGUGUUAAGGGCUUUACAUGCAUUAUUUUAUUUAAUCUUCAGAUAAUCCUAUUGUUGUUUUUCACUUUAUAGGUAAUAAACUAAAGGCUUAACCAGAGAAGUUACGACUCUAGCCCAUGGUCAUCCAGCUACUAGAACAGCUGUCUAGGAUUGUUACCCAGGGAGCCCAGUCCUUAAUGCAAAUGUUUACAUUUCUGAUGCUCCUAUGUCCAUCUGAAUACGUUUGUCAGAUGGACUUAUGAUUGAAAGUGAGGGUAGGCACUGUGGUCCUUGAUUCCCCAGAAUGGAACUAGAACAGUUGCCAAGAGCAGAUAAGCAGGCAAAAUCUCAAUGUCUUUGGCAAGGUUCUUGUUAUGGGUAGUCUUUAGCCUUUCCUAAGUGAUGAAAAUUUAGUCAAAAAAUAUUCCAGCUAAGCUUCUACCCUUUCUCUCUCUUAGAAUCCUAUUCUUCUCUUAGCCAGGCAUGGUGGCGCACGCCGGUAGUCCCAGGACUUGGGAGGCUGGGGCAGGAGGAUCACCUGAGCCUGAGAGGUUGAGGCUGCAGUGAGCUGAGACUGUGCCACUGCAUUCCAGCCUGGGCAGCAGAGCAAGACCUUGUCUCUCUUUAAAAAAAAAAAAAUCUAUGGGCCUGGAAUUAUCUAAAAUUUAGGUUCACUUGGGCCUAGAAUUGCCUUUUAGGUCAUGGGAUUUAGGUUCAUUUGGGUCUGGAAUUACCACUUGAGUCUGGUCCCAAGUGAACUAGAUGUCUCCAGAGACGGAAGAGAGACAUAUAAUGAUCCCUCCACCUACCUACCCUUCAGCACCAUGCUAUAAAAAUAAGAAGUACAUACAGGUAGCAGUAUGAUGAGUCAUAAUGAGUGGCCCUUAGGAAAGGCUUAAGAGGGCUGAGCAUGGGGACUCAUGCCUGUAAUCCCAGCACUUUGGGAGGCCAAGGCGGGCAGAUCACUUGAGACCAGGAAUUGGAGACCAGUCUGGCCAACAUGGUGAAACCCCAUCUCCACUAAAAAUACAAAACUUAAAUCCCAUGAUAGAUCAUUUUAUCUUUUGUGUCACCCCUCUAAAUAUGAUUUCUCUUCUUGGGUUUUCAGCAGAGAUGAAGGAGAGACAUAUAAUGAUUAUACAAACAUUUUAAUUACUGAGUUGAGACUGUAUUCAGACAUAAGCUGACUGGGCAGUCAUAGAAUUUUUGAGCUGGAAAAGAAAACUUCAAAAUUAUCCAGUCUAAUAAUUUUCUGAUAGAAGAAAGAAGAACUAAAGAUGGAAGCUGCUUCCUGUAGGUCGCAGGUCUGAAGAGGGGCAGUCAGAGGAGGUGACUGGACCUCACAGCGUAGUUCACUGCCAGCAUCUCUGGCUCACGUGCCUGAGGCUUGUGGAAAUCUGUGCCCUGGGAGAAGUGUGUGAACAGGUCAGAGGGAAACUUGAAUCCUGUUCAGGGCCAGUAAAGAGAGAGGUGCAGCCACAGAAGAAGGAGGGCUGUACAGGAGAAAAGCCUCAGAGAAAGUCAAAAAGGUAGAUGAGUUGAGCCCUCCUAGGGCAGGAAGAUCUAUAUUUGAGAAAUGGAAAAGGUUUAAACAGGGAUUCAGGGAUAUUAAUCUGGUGGUGUUUUGCCAGCCGCAUUUGAGGAGGAAAAUUUUGAGGCAAGGAGGCUGCUGGGGACACUACUGCAGUGGGCAGGAGUGUGCCAGAGGGUUCCACUCUUGGCACUUUUACAUUUUACUUCCUCAUGCUGCUUGUAUGACUGAGUAUGUAUGUGAUGGGGCAAGGAGAGGGGGCCUGGGGGGUAGUUCUCAGCUUGAUGCUCAGCUUGAAUUCAGACUUGCUGGGACAUGUCUGAUGAACCUGUUGGAUUGCCUUCCAGAUGCAUGACCACUGCACACCUUGAGUAAUUUCCACAUGCUCUAUUUCCAUCCUUCCUUGCCCACCAGCGUGCUUCAGCUGGAGUGAGUCUGCUUACACGAGGCAGUCAGAUGUACAAAGAGGCUAUUGAUGGCACACUGCAAACAAAGAAGCCAGUGGCACCAACGGCUCAACCCCUCUUCAACCCAGCUCAGGGCAGAAUUUCUCCCAUCGGGACAAAUGGAGCAGAUUCUGUGCUCAUGGGUACUCUUGUACCGAGGCUCAGCUGCAGAAUUCUCCAUCUCUCCUGUCCGAGGCAAGCCGGCAGAGUUUUGAGUCUCAGGGCAUCCUCAGAAUAGGCCAGUCGUGUUCCACCAGCUGCAGACCGAGACAAAUGCCUGACCUUGGGUAACAAUUUCCCCAGGCCCGUAGAAGCUGGUCUGCUCGUGCCUGGAUGCUUCCCUGAAGGCGGUGACGUCGAGAGUGGAGGUCUAUCUCUCACUGGCCUAUCUCUUCCCAAUGGCCGAACAUCAUCCCAGGAGUGAGGUCUAUUUACAAAUGGCAUAACUGUUUCUAGCAUUUGUAGCAGAGCAGUUUAACAAAUCAGUACAUUCUUUGAACAGCUGUUAAAUUAAACAAGCAUAACUCAUGAGUUGCAUUUAUAAAGAAACUCAAGUUUCCUCUUUCAUUAACCCUUUAAAUUUGGUGAAGCUGACAUGUCGCCUGCACCUGGAUAAACAUUCAAGCAGAUUCCAUGCCUUUCUAGGCUUUUCUUAGUCACCUUAUGUCUGAAUACAGUCUCAACUCAGCAAUUAAAAUGUUUAUAUAAUUGUUAAAAUUCCAAAUAUGCCAUAAAUUGAGGCUUCUCCCCUCUUCUUUAGUUCUGAAGGGGCACUUAGAGGAGGGGCACUUUUGUCCCUUCUUUCCCUUCUUUUAAACUGUGAUUUCUGAUCCACGCAGUGGGAAGAAGCAGAAAAGCUUCCAUGUGAUUGGUCCUGGUGUGAGGAUCUGGCAGGGAGGUUCCCUGUAUUUCAUGCUGACACUUUUGUUGUUGCUUUCGGUCCCCCCCAUUGCUGGAGCCCUCUCAAUUCAGGUGAUAUACUUUCCUCAGGCUCUUUGCUUACUCCGUCCACAUCCCUAGGAAUCUGGCCACACCUCCAGCUUCUCUUGGCUGGAAUCUCUUUGUCCCUCCAGGCUACCGUCUCGUCUCGAGUAGAGUUCUCUGACCACAUCAGGCCAGUCCCCUCUCUCAGUCAUGGCUCCCACCUUUGCCCCAACAACGCUGUGAGUACAGUUACUUCCCAUGUGCAACCCUCUACUCUGCUGCCAUUUUGGUUGACACCUGUGAUUGAGAUAGGCAUGGGGUAGGACUCACAGCACAACAGCUCUCUCUCCCAAGAAAUUCUCAUCUAAAUCUUCCUCUCAACUCUUUUGUAUCAUAUAUAUUCUUGGCCACUUUGUAAAUCCUGGUCUAGCACUUCACUCUGGAAUUUGGUAUCUAUUUGUGAUUAAGCUAAAAUUCCUAUUUUAACAUCUGAUUACAUUUGAUUUAUGACAGAUUUUGAACUCAAAUGCUUCUAUUUUCUGAAUCCUGAGCAUUAACAUGACAUUUACUUCUUUCUUUUUUUCAAGCAUAAGAUACUGUCUACCAUUUGGAUUUAUUUCCUAGGCUAGGGCUCCAUGCGUCCAAGUCCGGGUUCUAGUGGGAGAGAGGGAGAUCUAAUUAAAAAGAGAGAGAACCACUGUUUCAGCCAAACUCCAUAAGGUCUUGGGGCAUCCCUGUAUGAUAUUCUCACCCUGAGGGGAGAGAGCUGUUUCUUCCUGUUCUAUAGCAUCUCCAGCAGUGUGAGUGUGCAAGGACAGACUUCUUCAAGAGCAGAUUGAGACAUUGCUGGGAAGAGGCAAGAGUCAAAACGAUUCAGAAAUUUGGGUUGUAUAUGACCUUGAGCAAGUCACUUAAUCCCUGUGAGCCUCAGUUUUCACAUCUGUAGAAUGUGAAUAAUAAUCCCUAUAUUCCUCAUAGAUGAGAUCCUGUGAAGUGCUUCCUAAAUUGAGGAGGGGGUCACAAGUGUAAGCAAUAGGUAAUAAUAGUUAGAUCUGAUUUCAUCUCCCAUCUUGGACUGUAAAGACCUUAAAGUCAGGGACCAUGACAUGUUGUUUCUCAAUGUGAGCACAGGUUUUUUUUUUAAGAUGGAGUCUUGCUCUGUUGCCCAGGCUGGAGUACAAUGGCGUGACCUUGGCUCACUGCAACCUCCACUUUCCAGGUUCAAGUGAUUCUCCUGCCUCAGCCUCCUGAGUAGCUGCGACUACAGGUGCAGGCCAUUACACCUGGCUAAUUUUUGUAUUUUUAGUAGAGACGGGGUUUCAUCAUGUUGGCCAGAUUGGUCUUGAACUCCUGACCUCAGGCAAUUCUCCUGCCUCAGCCUUCCAAAGUGCUGGAAUUACAGGCACGAGCCACCAUGCCUGGCCGAGCACAAUUUUUUGAAUGGGCUUGAGAUGCUGUUCCCAAGUGUCUGGAAUGUUUUCAGGAAUGGACUUGCUAUGCAGAGCUACAUAUUUAUCUUACACAUACCUCCAUCAGGCCAAAUCUGACAAAAGUGAGUUAAGGACCAGCCUCAUUGCAUCCUGGAAAAUCCAAGCCAAAGCUCCUUCAGUAAUUUAUGGGAUUACUUAGUUCAAUUUUCCAAGAUAGUUCUGAAACAUUGAACCCAAUACACUUUGCUUCUACUUUUGCUGUGACUCAAAUAUUUCUCCUGAAAGUGCUUUCUUGCUUUCCCUCGUAUUCUUUCAGCCGUGUCAUUUGCAUCUUCACUUGCCUCUGGAUUUUCAGUUUGCCCUGUGAACUGCAUUCCUUUGCUCAGACAGGGGUGGGGAGGAAGCGUGGGCCAGGAAACCCCAGCACCCCCAGCUAAUGCACAGGAGCAGUAAGCGUGGUGAUUACUACAAUUGUUGCUAGUGGAAUAGUGAGCCAUUAGCUGGUUCUCACCCCUCUAUUAGUAUUACCCUGUAAUUUAAUCACAAUUAAUCUCCUAGGAACAUAGACAUAGGAAACAGGUGGGCAAAGGAGGCAGCUAGCAGAAAGCAACAGCAAUUGGGGGGUUCUAAUUCAAGCCACUGUUUUCAGAAAGUGCAGGGCCAAAGAAGAGUGGAGUUGGAGCUUGGAACAAGGCAAAUGGGUAAAUGAUUAAUGAGACUUGGCAUUUUAUUUUCUAGCAUUGAGGCUGGGGACUGGCAAAUAUUGAUCUCAUGUACGGGACUGGGCUUGUUUGAUAGCAAUAGGGAUUGAAAGAGGUCUUGGAAGGUGACUCAAAUCCCCUUCACUUCCUCUCCUUGGAAUCUGUGGGGAGGAAGUUCUCAGAGAAGGUUCUUACAGAGGUUCUCCAUUGUCUCAUCUGGCUUCCCACCCUGGGGUCCAAAUCAGGCUGUUGAGUCUAUGUUGCAAUCAACAUCCCUUCUGUGGCCCUGCUCUGACCAUUCUGAGGGGCUCUCAGAAGACUCAGGCCUGGAAGACUCAUGACCAUUCUCUGUGGCUAUAUGUAUUACUGGGAAGUAGAGAUGAGGGUGGUAUAUGUAGCUAGAACUGGAAGUAGAAGAAAUUGUGAGGUAGAGAAGAUUGGAUAAGGGUGUUCUUAGACCCUCCUGCAGGUCUGUUUUCCCACUCAAGCUUCAAAACCUGGGUCCCAGUGUAGAAGGGAGGAACCCAAGCAUUUAAGCCUCUCCUGUUACAUCACUCUCCUACUAUGGAACUGAUCCAUGAAGAAAAGAGUCAAUUGUGAAAGUUUCAGCCCAGCCCAGUCCCUCUAUGGCCGCAGUCAAGUUGUUAAUGGCAGAGACAGAUGAGGGCACUGUGGGAAUGUGGGGGAGAGUUGAGGGAAGGUUGGAGAAGGGCAGGGGGAGCAAGAAGUUGGGACCCCAAGCAGUUAUAAGUGAAAUUAGGAAAAACGUUGGAGGCGUCCCAUUUCCCUUUAUUCUCUCUACUUCUCUUACCAGUCAGGAUCCAGUCCUCCUACAAGUCCACUAAAGUAUUUAAUAACUGAACAUGCUUGAUAUGUUUUGGCUAUGUCCUCACCCAAAUCUCAAACUGUAGCUCCCAUAAUUCCAAUAUGUCAUGGGAGGUAUCCAGUGAGAGGUAAUUGAAUCAUGGGGAUGGGUCUUUCCUGUGCUGUUCUUAUGAUAGUGAAAAAGUCUCCCAAGAGCUGAUGGUUUUAUAAAGGGGUGUUCUCCUGCACAUGCUCUGUCUCUUACCUGCUGCCAUGUAAGACGUGACUUUGCUUCUCCUUUGCCUUCUGCCAUGAUUGUGAGGUGUCCCCAGCCACGUGGAACUAUGAGUUCAUUAAACGUCUUUUUCUUUAUAAAUUA
Callithrix jacchus (white-tufted-ear marmoset) is the source of this 21298-nucleotide non-coding RNA. NCBI's taxonomy places the organism in Eukaryota, Metazoa, Chordata, Mammalia, Primates, Cebidae. The record is from RefSeq and is a predicted model, not a curated record.